UAAAAUCCAAUAACGGAGUUAAGUUCACGAAUGUACAUAAACCGAUUUUGAUGGAUAGCCGGAAUUCAAUUCAUGAGAUGAGGAAAUCACAAUGCGAUCAGAUUUCACUCAGUUAUGAUAUUCAGAAGAGAUACUCUGGUAUGAAUCAAUUCCCUGAACAAUCCUUCUGUUCCUCGUUCGAUUCUUUCGAUGCUUGAAUCUAACCCCAUCAAUCUCUCUCGAACAAUUCCCUCAAUUUUCUCCUUCGCUUCUGUAUCUCUACUCGAUGAUCCAAAUCGUAAUUCCUCCAUCGCUAUCUCCAGAUUCUCCAACUCGUUCAUUCUCUCCGUCUGAUUGUUCCGGCUUAUCGCUCCCUUUUGGACAAGCCUCGACACCAACGUCCAUCGGCUUGGUUUCGACCUCCACUGCACCGGCACGGCGAGGAACGACAAUAGCGAGUUGAAGAUCGAGG
RNAcentral lists this long non-coding RNA (451 nucleotides) under Cucumis sativus (cucumber). RNAcentral describes it as "long non-coding RNA (CSAT_LNC002529)". Lineage: Eukaryota; Viridiplantae; Streptophyta; Magnoliopsida; Cucurbitales; Cucurbitaceae. The record is from RNAcentral.